RNAcentral lists this ribosomal RNA (461 nucleotides) under uncultured bacterium. Its description in RNAcentral is "partial 16S ribosomal RNA". It matches the Rfam family "Bacterial small subunit ribosomal RNA", at positions 28 to 506 of the family's 1533-position model. The record is from RNAcentral.
GAUAAACGCUGGCGGCGUGCUUAACACAUGCAAGUCGAACGAAGUUUUUCUUUCGGGAGGAACUUAGUGGCGGACGGGUGAGUAACGCGUGGGUAACCUGCCCUGUACAGGGGGACAACAGCUGGAAACGGCUGCUAAUACCGCAUAAGCCCUUAGCACUGCAUGGUGCAUAGGGAAAAGGAGCAAUCCGGUACAGGAUGGACCCGCGUCUGAUUAGCCAGUUGGCAGGGUAACGGCCUACCAAAGCGACGAUCAGUAGCCGAUCUGAGAGGAUGUACGGCAAAUUGGGGAAUGAGACACGGCCCAGACCCCUACGGGGGGAGGCAGUGGGGAAAAUUGCAAAAUGGAGGAAACCCGAAUGCAGGAGCGCCGGGGGAGGGAAGAAGUAUUUCGGUAAUAAAAGCCCUAUCAGAAGGAAAGAAAAUGACGGUACCUGACAAAAAAGCACCGGCUAAAUACGU